Peromyscus eremicus (cactus mouse) is the source of this 422-nucleotide long non-coding RNA. RefSeq lists it as uncharacterized. NCBI's taxonomy places the organism in Eukaryota, Metazoa, Chordata, Mammalia, Rodentia, Cricetidae. The transcript is spliced from 2 exons. The record is from RefSeq and is a predicted model, not a curated record.
UUUUUCCCUCAGUGGCAGAUGGGCAGCGUUGCCCUUGAUCUGUGGAGUGGGCAGCAGGGCUGAGCCUAUGGUUUGUACCGGGACUGCAUGCCAGGGUCACCUUCCCAGAAGUCACCAGUGCCACGGGCCGCAUGGUAACGUAGGUACUGGGGUCAGCUAGGACAGUUUUACACGCAGAGGGUUCAUGGAGGCCCAGAGUCAGAAGACGUUGACAUUGGAGUCAGUUCUGCACAGAGCAGAAUAAGGCAGAGACCAUACCGGCCCAUCCACCCUAUCAUGGUUUUAAAACCUCCUGCCUGGGAACGCAGCAGCUUUGUACUUGAAACCCAGCUCUACUUUCUCUGGAAGCUAGGGGAAUCUUCAACGGAGUAGGACUGCCUUUUCCGCCCGCUGAUCAGCGUCAUAAAGCCCUGAAAGUCUGA